Molecule: ribosomal RNA, 253 nt
Filed under: uncultured bacterium
Lineage: Bacteria
Description: partial 16S ribosomal RNA
Rfam family: Bacterial small subunit ribosomal RNA
Source: RNAcentral
UACGUAGGUGGCGAGCGUUGUCCGGAUUUACUGGGCGUAAAGGGAGCGUAGGCGGACUUUUAAGUGAGAUGUGAAAUACUCGGGCUCAACUUGAGUGCUGCAUUUCAAACUGGAAGUCUAGAGUGCAGGAGAGGAGAAUGGAAUUCCUAGUGUAGCGGUGAAAUGCGUAGAGAUUAGGAAGAACACCAGUGGCUAAGGCGAUUCUCUGGACUGUAACUGACGCUGAGGCUCGAAAGCGUGGGGAGCAAACAGG